This 405-nucleotide ribosomal RNA is filed under the name uncultured bacterium. Its description in RNAcentral is "partial 16S ribosomal RNA". It matches the Rfam family "Bacterial small subunit ribosomal RNA", at positions 28 to 526 of the family's 1533-position model. The record is from RNAcentral.
GACGAACGCUGGCGGCAGGCUUAACACAUGCAAGUCGAACGAGUGGAGGACGGGUGAGUAAUGCUUGGGGAUCUAGCUUAUGGAGGGGGAUAAAUACGGGAAACUGUAGCUAAUAACGCGUACCAUAGGAUGAGCCCAAGUGGGAUUAGGUAUGUGGUGAGGUAAAGGCUCACCAAGACGACGAUCUCUAGCUGGUCUGAGAGGAUGACCAGCCACACUGGGACUGAGACACGGCCCAGCCUCCUACGGGAGGCAGCAGUGGGGAAGAUUGCGCAAUGGGGGCAACCUGACGCAGCCAUGCCGCGUGAAUGAAGAAGGCCUUCGGGUUGUAAAGUUCUUUCGGUAGCGAGGCGUUAACUACAGAAGAAGCACCGGCUAACUCCGUGCCAGCAGCCGCGGUAAUUC